CUUCUAAACGCUGAUUAAUGAAAGUUAAUGAAAACGGAUCUGCAUUCUGAGAAGGAAAUCCCGGUGUUAAGGCCACUUGCUUGGACCCUAACGGCUAUUUAUAGUGCCAGUGCACUCGUGGGCUUUUCAAGCUACUAUGAGUCAGAUGCCAUCCUUCAUUGGAAGCCUCUCCUUCAGUGCUUUGUGCAUGGCAGAGACCAGUUCUUUCAUAGUGUUUCCAGUACAAGCUUCACCACUUCAUCCUCACAACCCUUAAAAUAUGGAUUGACUUGCCAGCACUCUUGUCCAGCUGAGAAGCAAUUACAGAAGCCAGACCUCCUACCUUCGGCAUCACAAAAAGAAUUUUGUCCAUACUCCCAGAGGGAAAGAAAUGUUAGGGAAGAUGACUGGAGGGCUCUGAACCCAGUUCCAGCAGGACCCAGAAAGAGAAGAGGAAAAAAAAGAAAAAACAUUCUGAAGUAGUGGUAGGUGUAGGUGUGACUUAAA
Long non-coding RNA from Erinaceus europaeus (western European hedgehog), 486 nucleotides. RefSeq lists it as uncharacterized. The record is from RefSeq and is a predicted model, not a curated record. The transcript has 3 exons. Lineage: Eukaryota; Metazoa; Chordata; Mammalia; Eulipotyphla; Erinaceidae.